This is a long non-coding RNA of Octopus bimaculoides (California two-spot octopus), 1224 nucleotides long. The record is from RefSeq and is a predicted model, not a curated record. NCBI's taxonomy places the organism in Eukaryota, Metazoa, Mollusca, Cephalopoda, Octopoda, Octopodidae.
UUUCAUUCGUGUGUGCUUGUAAAUAAUUAGACAAAUAUAGAUAUAAGCAUACAUUUUAUAUCUGAAUAUAUAUUACAACAAAAAAUUUCUGCACUGUCAUGGUAUUAGCUGUCAGAAAUGAAAGUAGAAAAAUUCAAACAAGGAAUGUUACUGCUGGUUUGAGUUGAAAUCUGUUUCUUUGGCUACUGACUGGCCGGAGCUAUCUGUCUAUCUCUUUCUCUCUCUCUAUCUAUCUAUCACUCGUCCACCUUCGUUUGUUUCCGUAGAAUUUAUCAAAUUAGAAAAUGCAUUUCCGUAGAAUUUAUCAAAUUAUAAAAUGCGUUUCCGUAGAAUUUAAACAAAUGAAAUUCAGUUUAAACUUUAUAAAUAAAUAUAUUUCAUUUCAUGUUCAGUUUAAACUUUAUAAAUAAAUAUAUUUUUGCAUUAUUCAUUAUUGUUUUUAAAAACAAAUUACAUACACCAAUCAGCACCACCACGCGUAAUCCAAAGCUGGAAUUACUCACCGCGAUAUUGCCAUCGCUACAACAGAAAAUAGUAUUAAUUGGCUUAAGAGACAUGGACUUUAAAUACCCCAAAAAUAUGCUCCUCGUGUGGAGCUAGCAUGAUGGAAGUAGCCAAAAAGUUUUUUUUUUCUAAUUUGAUAAAUUCUACGGAAACAAACGAAGGUGGACGAGUGAUAGAUAGCUAGAUAGCUCCGGCCAGUCAGUAGCCAAAGAAACAGAUUUCAACUCAAACCAGCAGUAACAUUCAUUGUUUAGAUUUUUCUACUUUUGCUUCUGACAGUGCCAAAAUUUCGCCUAGAUUUAAAAGAUUCAAUUUACAUGUGAACAAAUGUGAUUUCAUCGUAAACUUCUUCCGCUAUUAAAACAAAUCAAACAGCCACGUCAAAUUUGAAUUCAAUCGAAGAAAAAGAAGACAAAUAAUUAACGUUUCGUUUCUUCUCUACCGAAGAGCUCUGCCUGAAACAGCAGAAGGUUUCAUUUCUGCAUGGAAUGCAAACUUUUUUCGUUAUCUGUGUUGAUUUUCUUUCCCUACAGGCGUCGAAGUUAACUAGGUCAGUGCCCUUGAAAUGAACCAAUCGGAAAUGAUAUUGAACGUCAAAAAAUUUUUUUAUUUCGUUUUAAACUUAUUGAAAAGAAACUUGUAGAUAAUAGAUGUUGAAUUGUAUUGUAAAUAAAUUUCUGCUUAGAAAAGUAUUAGUAAAAAGUUUGUCCUCAAUAUGAA